UACAGAGGUCUCAAGCGUUGUUCGGAUUCAUUGGGCGUAAAGCGUGCGCAGGCGGUGAUGUAAGACCGAUGUGAAAUCCCCGGGCUUAACCUGGGAACUGCAUUGGUGACUGCAUUGCUGGAGUAUGGCAGAGGGGGGUGGAAUUCCACGUGUAGCAGUGAAAUGCGUAGAGAUGUGGAGGAACACCGAUGGCGAAGGCAGCCCCCUGGGCCAAUACUGACGCUCAUGCACGAAAGCGUGGGGAGCAAACAGG
This 253-nucleotide ribosomal RNA is filed under the name uncultured bacterium. RNAcentral describes it as "partial 16S ribosomal RNA". It matches the Rfam family "Bacterial small subunit ribosomal RNA", at positions 524 to 776 of the family's 1533-position model. The record is from RNAcentral.